RNAcentral lists this ribosomal RNA (490 nucleotides) under uncultured bacterium. Its description in RNAcentral is "bacterial SSU rRNA". It matches the Rfam family "Bacterial small subunit ribosomal RNA", at positions 29 to 507 of the family's 1533-position model. The record is from RNAcentral.
AUGAACGCUAGCUACAGGCUUAACACAUGCAAGUCGAGGGGCAGCAUGGUCUUAGCUUGCUAAGGCCGAUGGCGACCGGCGCACGGGUGAGUAACACGUAUCCAACCUGCCGUCUACUCUUGGACAGCCUUCUGAAAGGAAGAUUAAUACAAGAUGGCAUCAUGAGUCCGCAUGUUCACAUGAUUAAAGGUAUUCCGGUAGACGACUGGGGAUGCGUCCCAUUAGAUAGUAGGCGGGGUAACGGCCCACCUAGUCUUCGAUGGAUAGGGGUUCUGAGAGGAAGGUCCCCCACAUUGGAACUGAGACACGGUCCAAACUCCUACGGGAGGCAGCAGUGAGGAAUAUUGGUCAAUGGACGAGAGUCUGAGCCAGCCAAGUAGCGUGCAGGAUGACGGCCCUAUGGGUUGUAAACUGCUUUUAUAAGGGAAUAAAGUGGGAGUCGUGACUCUUUUUGCAUGUACCUUAUGAAUAAGGACCGGCUAAUUCCGUG